Molecule: long non-coding RNA, 1988 nt
Organism: Solanum stenotomum
Lineage: Eukaryota; Viridiplantae; Streptophyta; Magnoliopsida; Solanales; Solanaceae
Exons: 4
Source: RefSeq, a predicted model, not a curated record
AGAGACUGCCGACAACUGACCGUCGAGAUUCAAGAUUGCUUAACUUUCUUGGCUUAGCUAUUGUAAUUUCAGAUUUGCUCUUCUCAAUUUUGCCCAAAUUUGUUUUUCUCCGUAUCUAUUUUUUUGUAGUUUCAAUUUAUUGUUGUACCUUUCUUUUCCAUUAAUAUGUAUCUGUGCUACUCUUUCAUCUGAAUUCUGCCCAAAUUUUCAGGAAUGAAUUAGUUUUGCUUGUGGAGCUCGAUUCUGAAAUCUUCCAAAGAGAAGAAGCCCAGGGCUGAAAAUAAGCUUCUAAAGGACGCAUGAUGUUGUUCUCCUCUUCUCAUAUUUUUGUUCAACCUUUUUUGGUUAGUUGUUCCUUCAAAUUAUUGGAGCUUAAGUUGUUUUGGUAGUAAAUAUUUUAGUUUUGUUAAAAAAAUAAAUUAAUCCUUCCAACUACAUGAUGAAAUUUUAGGAUGAUGAGCUACAAUGACAUGAAUUCGACUGAUCAUUGGAAUUCAUCUUAUCCUGUAAUUUUGAUUUGGGGAAAAAAAAUAGUAUCAUCGUUUAAGGCAAUAAGAACAAUUCUUUUCGUUGAACUGACAAUCUAAAUUUAUAAUUCUGUUGGUAUAUAGAUAAUUUUAUGUUUUUAUAUGUGAGUUUUAAAUUGGUCAGAGAUCUUAAUACUAUGGAGUAAUUGUAGACUAAUAUAAUUCUUUACAUGGAGAGUGUGUGUUUAUUCAUGAAGUACUAAUCGAAGAUCACUGUCGACAAUUUGAUUAAACAAAAUUUAUAUAAUAUAAUUUUGGACCAUAUUAUAAAGUUUGUUGCUUUCCUCUAAAUAAGAAAUCUAUAACACCCACAGAAUCCAUGCAUUGCUUUCUUUUCUUCUUGAUUUAUAACCUUUAAUUUUUUUAACUUCCUUAGUCGUGGUCGUAAAUUAUUGAUGCAUCUAUUGGUUUAUUUCAGAUUUCACUUUGUUUUGUGAUAAUAAUUGACGUUUUUGUGUGUUUAGUAUUUCGAAUUAUGGUGAGUUUCAUUCUUCUAUUUACUUUCAAUUUUUAUUGUUGUGUGUGAUCAAUAUUCUGGACUCCGAUAAGUACAACUUUUAUAUUGACUUGCAUCCCCCUGCUUUUUCUAUUGAUUUGUUCCCUUGAUUGUACCUGUCUUUGAGUGUUGGGUGACUCUGUAGGUUCUUGUAUGGAUUGAUUGUGUUCCCUAUUGAAAGAGCUUUAGAGGAAUAUGAGUGGACAUCUACAUAGGCUUAUGUGAUUCGAAGCCAAUCACUCUGUAUUGCAAGAAAGACCGUAAAAAACAUAAUCAAUGGUAUUUUCUUAUAUUGCUCAAAACACUAAUUGAAGAAGGAGAUGCCUGCUCUCCAAAACCCACUUUCCUCUUUUGAAUGGUCGCACACCAAUUUUUUCCCCAACAUUUGGGGAUGUAUCUCUCUUUGAAAAAGUAAUAUUGUUGUUGUUUUUAAUUAAUAACAAAUUUAUUUGAAGUUACUGCCAGCUGUUAUUGAACUAUUGGGCGAUGCGAAGCAGCCGGUUAGAGAUGCAGCUAGGAGGUUGUUGCUUACUUUAAUGGAGAAUUGUGCAGACUUCCAAAAAAUACUCUCAAUUUCUUCCCUCCUUUCAAGUUUGAAAACUGGUGCUAUCAGUUGAGGUAUUUUCACAAAGGAAUAUUUUUUUAAUCUGUCUAGCUUUGGUGUGUUAUUUUUUUUAAUUAAAAGGCAUUUCCCUUUUACUCUGGUCGUUCAGAUGGUCAAAUUGAGACUGAUAUUUUUUGGCUACUGCUCUUGAAAAGCUAGAUUGAAGUCAAAUAAGAACAUACACACUGGGCUUUAUCAGGCUUUAUUGCUACAACAUUCUCUACCAUCUGCUAAACUACCACAAUAGCUGAGCAGAACAAGAUGAUUACAACCUUGCUAUUUUGCCCUUUGCCAAUGUCAGUUUAUGUAAUUGUGUAAACAUUGUUGCAUCUAUAUGCAUAAAACAGUACAUUGAUGAAUG